RNAcentral lists this long non-coding RNA (673 nucleotides) under Lupinus angustifolius (narrow-leaved blue lupine). Its description in RNAcentral is "long non-coding RNA (LANG_LNC003497)". Lineage: Eukaryota; Viridiplantae; Streptophyta; Magnoliopsida; Fabales; Fabaceae. The record is from RNAcentral.
UGGCAACCACUAAUGCAACACCUACAUUAAAUGAAUAAUAUUUAAAUAGCCCGAACCAUAACAAAUGAAAAGAACAACACACGAAAGAAAAAACCAGUGUUGUUUGGACCGGACCGAACCGGACAAUUCGACCGGUUCAAUCACUGACCGGAUAGACAAACGGUUCCAGUUACUCCAAAAAGCCAUCCUUGUAUUUAGCACGCUUCUGCCCAUUGAGAUUUCGGUUCAACCGGGUUGAACCGCUUAAAACCAGAAUAACCCAGAUGGUUGAACCGGCUGGUUUGCAGAGUUAAGAAAGGGGAUAGUUAAGAAAUCCUUCCCCAACAAAUUGAAAACCUUCCCCUAGAAAUCAAAUAUGCAAUUUGAAAAUCCUUCCAUUAACUCUCAAAGACUCAAACUCACAAAUCUUAACUUCUACGUGCCUUCGUCUUCUCUUUGUCGUGAGCUUCGUUAACUUCUCUAUGCCUUCUUCUUCGUGCUGUAAGCUUUGUUGUUGUCUCUAUGUGUUGCUGCUAGAGCAAACUCUGAAACAGCGGUAAGUAUAUUCUAUAUAUGAGACUGUUGAGUUUUGAGAGUUAAGAUAGAGAUACAUGGGAAGAUGAAACAACUCUGGUCAUAGAGAAAAAAAAAUGCACUAAAUGCCUCUACAAAAGAUAAUAGAGUCUAGAGUUAC